This 221-nucleotide non-coding RNA is filed under the name Staphylococcus sp. 8AQ. Its description in RNAcentral is "tsr24". It matches the Rfam family "S. aureus tsr24 small RNA". The record is from RNAcentral. Lineage: Bacteria; Bacillati; Bacillota; Bacilli; Caryophanales; Staphylococcaceae.
AAAAUUUUUAUACAUACGGAAUUUCUUUAAUUUAGUUUAAUGAUGUUUAUUAAAUUACACGAAAGGUCCUUAUUUUUUCAAGGUGUUUUUCAAUGUAUAAAUACGUAGUAUAUAUGGCGAGACUCUUGAGGGAACAGGACAAGCUGAAGACUACAGGCUGAAGCUGUCCCCUAUGAAAGCGAGCCGAUAAUACGAAGUAUUAUAAAUAAAGAAGCCAGUAA